UGGUCCUGACCUGACCUGUAUGUACCUGGUCCUGACCUGUAUGUACCUGGUCCUGACCUGUACGUACCUGGUCCUGACCUGUUUGUACCUGGUCCUGACCUGUAUGUACCUGGUCCUAACCUGACCUGUAUGUACCUGGUCCUAACCUGUAUGUACCUGGUCCUGACCUGUAUGUACCUGGUCCUGACCUGUAUGUACCUGGUCCUGACCUGUUUGUACCUGGUCCUGACCUGUAUGUACCUGGUCCUGACCUGUUUGUACCUGGUCCUGACCUGUUUGUACCUGGUCCUGACCUGUAUGUACCUGGUCCUGACCUGUAUGUACCUGGUCCUAACCUGACCUGUAUGUACCUGGUACUGACCUGUAUGUACCUGGUCCUGACCUGUAUGUACCUGGUCCUGACCUGUUUGUACCUGGUCCUGACCUGUAUGUACCUGGUCCUGACCUGUAUGUACCUGGUCCUGACCUGACCUGUAUGUACCUGGUCCUGACCUGUUUGUACCUGGUCCUGACCUGACCUGUUUGUACCUGGUCCUGACCUGUUUGUACCUGGUCCUGACCUGUAUGUACCUGGUCCUCACCUGUUUGUACCUGGUCCUGACCUGACCUGUAUGUACCUGGUCCUGACCUGUAUGUACCUGGUCCUGACCUGUAUGUACCUGGUCCUGACCUGUAUGUACCUGGUCCUAACCUGACCUGUAUGUACCUGGUCCUGACCUGUAUGUACCUGGUCCUGAUCUGUAUGUACCUGGUCCUGACCUGUAUGUACCUGGUCCUGACCUGUAUGUACCUGGUCCUAACCUGACCUGUAUGUACCUGGUCCUGACCUGUAUGUACCUGGUCCUAACCUGUUUGUACCUGGUCCUGACCUGUAUGUACCUGGUCCUAACCUGACCUGUAUGUACCUGGUCCUGACCUGUUUGUACCUGGUCCUGACCUGUAUGUACCUGGUCCUGACCUGUAUGUACCUGGUCCUGACCUGUAUGUACCUGGUCCUGACCUGACCUGUAUGUACCUGGUUCUGACCUGUACGUACCUGGUCCUGACCUGACCUGUAUGUACCUGGUCCUGACCUGUAUGUACCUGGUCCUAACCUGGCCUGUAUGUACCUGGUCCCGACCAGGUGGUUUAGUUUAAUGACCAGGUGGUUUAGUUUAAUGACCAGGUGGUGGCUAGUUUAAUGACCAGGUGGUUUAGUUUAAUGACCAGGUGGUUUAGUUUAAUGACCAGGUGGUUUAGUUUAAUGACCAGGUGGUGGCUAGUUUAAUGACCAGGUGGUGGCUAGUUUAAUGACCAGGUGGUUUAGUUUAAUGACCAGGUGGUGGCUAGUUUAACGACCAGGUGGUGGCUAGUUUAAUGACCAGGUGGUGGCUAGUUUAAUGACCAGGUGGUUUAGUUUAAUGACCAGGUGGUGGCUAGUUUAAUGACCAGGUGGUUUAGUUUAAUGACCAGGUGGUUUAGUUUAAUGACCAGGUGGUGGCUAGUUUAACGACCAGGUGGUGGCUAGUUUAAUGACCAGGUGGUGGCUAGUUUAAUGACCGGGUGGUUUAGUUUAAUGACCAGGUGGUGGCUAGUUUAACGACCAGGUGGUGGCUAGUUUAAUGACCAGGUGGUUUAGUUUAAUGACCAGGUGGUGGCUAGUUUAAUGACCAGGUGGUGGCUAGUUUAAUGACCAGGUGGUGGCUAGUUUAAUGACCAGGUAGUGGCUAGUAUAACAACAGGUGAGUUACCCUUAUGACCCUCUACGAUAGACAUUCAGUUGUUCAGCUAGGGAGGAAUGCGUCACAAAUGGUACCCUAUAUAGUGCAGUACUUUUGACAAGGGCCCAUAGGUAGUGCACUAUGUAGGGAAUAGGGUGCCAUUUGGGAAUCCCUCAAGAGAUGUCCACAGGACACAGUGGAGUCAGUGCAGAACCAGUUCCUGAUUAUCGUGUGUAUAAUGUGUGUAUAAACAUGUAUAAACUGCUUAAUAAACAUGUAUAAACUGCUUAAUAAACAUGUAUAAACUGCUUAAUAAACAUGUAUAAACUGCUUACUAAACAUGUGUAAACUGCUUAAUAAACAUGUAUAAACUGCUUAAUAAACAUGUAUAAACUGCUUAAUAAACAUGUGUAAACAGCUUACUAAACAUGUAUAAACUGCUUAAUAAACAUGUAUAAACUGCUUAAUAAACAUGUAUAAACAGCUUACUAAACAUGUAUAAACUGCUUACUAAACAUGUAUAAACUGCUUACUAAACAUGUAUAAACUGCUUAAUAAACAUGUGUAAACUGCUUAAUAAACAUGUAUAAACUUAUAAUAACAGUCAUGGUUGAGUAGUUGACUUUAAAGGACCCAGAGAGUUACAUAGACAGAGGACCUUCAGUAUGCUGGACAACACUGGAAACAUGUUGGGCUCAAUAUACAUCAUCAUGGUAUAUUAUCUUAUAUAGUAAGUUAUCUUAUGUUAUACGCUUUGUAACAGAGCACCAUUACGUUUUAGUACUUUUUUCAAAGCUGGCUGGUUUGUUUACAAGUUCAUAUCAAGAGUGCUGGAGAUUCAGCCCGACUUUAAAAUAACACAGAAUCUAAGUGCUACAUUUCCUGAAAGCCCCGUAAAUGUAAACAUGUAUACAGAUGAACAUAAUAAACUGUCCAUAGCUGGUAAUAUUACAAGAGGCAAUAGUAUCAAAACAUUCCACCAAAAAGACUUGAAAGAGUAUUAAACAGUUUUAAAUAAUUCAUAUUAAAUAGUUAUCCUUCAGCAUCUUUUAGUGAUGUCGUUUUUUUUUUGAUCAAUUUAUAAUUCCUUGAAAGAAUCCUAGAUAUUUUUUUUUUAGAUCCGACAAAAUAUUUAAUUCAUGGUUUCCUCUAUUACAGUGGUCGCCAACCUUUUUUCAGAGUCAAAAUGCAAGCUGAGAUCAACCGUAAGCCUAUGCAACAUUAACCAAUUUAAAAACAGUUCUGGAUCAAUGAACCUCAUUCAUGAACCUCAUUGAUCCAGAACUGUUUUUUAAUUGGUUAAUGUACAGUAGUAAGCUAUAGGCUCAAUACAUUAUCACUGUAUACUGGCUAUGCUUGACUUGCCCUGCCAAUGUUAUUCUUCUGGGACCAUUUUGACAUUUUAUAUAUAAAAUGUUGGUAUAUGAUCAAACUGGUAAUAGAUCAUUUGUUGUAUCACUUGUGAGGUUACAGCUGACUGAGCAUAAUCAUAUAAUUUUUUUUUUUUAUUGGACUGAUGACCUGCAUCUGAUGGUUAGUCUGAGAGGAGGGAGGGAGAGAGGAGGGAGGGAGCAGCAGUUUGGCUGUCUCUCACCAGGCUCUCCCUCCCUCCUCUCUCCCUCCCUCCGCUGAGAAAAGGGGACAUAAGUUUCGCCAACGGCUGGAAGACUAAAUUGCACUGCAUUACUUGUGCCUCAUGUACCAAUUCAUGCUGUUACUCCUAUGACCAGCGAAAGUAAAAAUGUUCCUCUGGGCCUUUCGGGUAGGCAGAGAUCUACCUUCACAUACUGUUGUUUUUCAUAAUUGUCCAAACAUUGUCAUAGCUAUGUAAACACUUUCUGUUUUCUCUCUCAAGUAUUCUACAUAACUUUUCUAUGGGUCCUAUUCAGUCAACAGCAAGAACCAGGUUUCCUGUAUGAGUCAUUUAUAUCUAGAGAGUGUUUUAUAAUGUAAACACAGUGUUGUCAAUGUCAUGAGGAAGACCGUACUCCUCUUCCUCCACUGGAGGAGCCUCCUCUGGUAAAGGUUGUGUUGUCCAUCACCAUUAGCCCGAUUCCUGAUCCGAGUUAUGCGUGAGUAAAUGGAACUUAAUUACAAUGUGACUCAUGUUACCCCUCAUAGCCUGGUUCCUCUCUAGGUUUCUUCCUAGGUUUUGGCCUUUCUAGGGGAGUUUUUCCUAGCCACCCCUCAUAGCCUGGUUCCUCUCUAGGUUUCUUCCUAGGUUUUGGCCUUUCUAGGGGAGGUUUUCCUAGCUACCGUGCUUCUACACCUGCAUUGCUUGCUGUUUGGGGGGUUUUUAGGCUGGGUUUCUGUACAGCACUUUGAGAUAUCAGCUGAUGUAAGAAGGGCUAUAUAAAUACAUUUGAUUUGAUGAUGUUUCAGCCAAGCUAUUCGUUUGUGGUAGAGAUCGCAUAAAUUGAGGCGCGGCAGAGGUAUGUCUACAGAUACGUCGUAUUCUGACCUUGAUUUAAUUCCCUCGUAAUUCCACCACCUUUACGCGUGAUGAAACGAUGAAUAAAAUCAAGCAACCUGUCGGUUCCAAGUGUGACAAACAUCUUAUUUUUUAUUUAUUUUUUUACCCCCGAUUGAAAUAACACAAUUCUUCAUGCACUGUAGGGCCUAAUUUACAUAUUUAUAAGAGCUAUUGAUAAGAAUUUGGUAAAUGAAUAAUCCGUUGGAAUAAGGGGAUUGUAAAUAUAAAUUGCAAUAGUUUUAGAUCUGUUUUUACCUUAGAAAUCGCUGGAGACAAAUGUGAAACCAGUCAAAAUGGCAGCAAACUGAAACAGAUCAACUUUCCCACAGUGAUGUGAUUUUUAUGAAAUAUUGUGCCAUUAUGUAGAAUUUAAAUUGUAAUUUUUAACUUGAAACUUUCAUGUGAGCAUGUGAAAUUUGACCUUUGGGCAAUCUCCAAUAUUUUAAUUAAAUACCUUAAUUUGCUUCGUCGGUAAAACGCCAUCACGGAAGUGUGGUUGAUCACAUUGGUUAAUUACAUCGCUAUGGAGCGGAACGCAGACCAAGCCGUAACAGUUUGAACCGGAAGCAUGGCGCAACACUUGAUUGUGUCAUUUACACAGUUCCAUGGUUAAUGCAGGCAAUAGAAGAGUGUAUAGCCUACUAUUGUACACUAAUUCCCCUAUUAUAGUUAUACGCACACACAUAUUCCAACAUUACCAUGGGUUGAAGAACUGAAUGUGUCAAUUUUUCCCGAAUGAAUCAAACCACCGUUUUUUUUUCGUGCAUAAAGGGUCUCUAACCCGUUUUUUUUUAUUAUUAAUGAAUACUUUCCUAACAUUAAAGCUGCAAUAUGUACCUUUUUGGGUAACCUGUCAUUCUCAUUGAAAGCAAGUCUAAAUAGUGGUAGAUCUGUUCUAUGUGCUCUAUUUCUAUUCCUCCCGGUCUUAACGUUCAUUUGUGCAUAUUUAACUUUCGGUUUUUCUACAUCAGCUUCAAACAGCUGAAUAUGCAAUAUUUUUUGGUUAUGGAAAAUAUAUCUCACAGCGGUUUAGAUGGUACAAUGAUUCUCUACACUAAACUUUCUUGUUUUGUCACAAACUGAAAUUAUGCGAGCUAUUACACUUUUUGCAAACAGGAAAUGGCGAAUUUAUUUCUCCUUGGUGCUUUUUUAAAUACUAAUACUUUUUUAUCUACCAAUUGGUGCCGAAAAGGCGCCAAUAUGAGUGUAUUUACACUGAACAAAAAUAUAACAUGCAACAAUUUCAAUUUUUUUACUGAGUUACAGUUCAUAUGAGGAACUCAGUCAAUUAAAACAAAUUCAUUAGGCCCUAAUCUAUGGAUUUCACAUGACUGAUGCAUCUGUUGAUCACAGAUACUGUACCUUAAAAAUAAUUAAGGGUGUGGAUCAGAAAACCAGUCAGUAUCUGGUGUGACCACCAUUUGCCUCAUGCAGCGUGACACAUCUCCUUCACAUAGAGUUGAUCAGGCUGUAGAUUGUGGCCUGUUGGAAUGUUGUCCCACUCCUCUUCAAUGGCUGUGUGAAGUUGCUGGAUAUUUUGGCGGCAACUGGAACACGCUGCCGUACACGUCGAUACAGAGCAUCCCAAACAUGCUCAAUGGGUGACAUUUCUGUUGAAUAUGCAGGUCAUGGAAGAACUGGGAUAUUUUCAGCUUCCAGGAAUUGUGUUCAGAUCCUUGCGACAUGGGGCCGUGCAUUAUCAUGCUGAAACAUGAGGUGAUGGAGGAGGAUGAAUGGCACGACAAAGGGCCUCAGAAUUUCGUCAUGGGAUUUCUGUGCAUUCAAAUUGCCUUCGAUAAAAAUGCAAUUGUAUUCGUUGUCCGUAGACGGUACAGUUAAAACCGGCAUUCACCCAUGAAGAGCACACUUCUCCUGCAUGUCGGUGGCCAUCGAAGGUGAGCAUUUGCCCACUGUCGGUUACGAUGCCAAACUGCAGUCAGACCCUGGUGAGAACGACGAGCACGCAGAUGAGCUUCCCUGAGACGGAUUCUGACAGUUUGUGCAGAAAUUCUUCGGUUGUACAAACCGACAGUUUCAUCAGCUGUCCAGGUGGCUGGUCUCAGACGACCCCCAACAGGUGAAGAAGCCGGAUGUGGAGGUCCUGGGCUGGCGUGGUUACACGUGGUCUGAGGUUGUGAGGCCGGUUGGAUGUACUGCCAAAUUCUCUAAAAUGAUUUUGGAGAUGGCUUAUGGUACGGAAAUGAAUGUUCAAUUAUCUGGCAACAGCUCUGGUGGACAUUCCUGCAGUCAGCAUGCCAAUUGCACGCUCCCUCAAAACUUGAGACAUCUGUGGCAUUGUGUUGUGCGACAAAACUGCACCUUUUAGAGUGGCCUUUUAUUGUCCCCCAGCACAAGGUGCACCUGUGUAAUGAUCAUGCUGUUUAAUCAGCUUCUGGAUAUCCUACACCUGUCAGGUGGAUGGAUUAUGUUGGCAAAGGAGAAAUGCUCAAAAUAAAUUAAUUUGUGCACGUAAUUAUAGAGAAAUUAGCUUUUUGUGCGCAUGAAACAUUUCUGGGAUCUUUUAUUUCAGCUCAUGAAACUAAGACUAACACUUAACAUGUUGCUUUUAUUUUUUUUGUUCAUUACAGAUGGCUUUCUUUGAUUGGUCCCUAAUAUUCUGAACUGUUCUCUCCAUGUAGUCUGUGGACAAAUAAAAAAAAUAGAAUUAAAGGUACACCGAAUUUAAAGGGAUGGCUUUAGAUAAAUGUACUGAAAACCCUAUUGAAUGAAUACUACACCUGCAUAGGGUAAAUCUGAAUACCAACUAUUGAGAAAUGGGUAGAAAAGGUGUGCACCAAUAAGAAUUGUGGUUUUGACUAAUCACAGAAACCUGGUUAGAGCUAGAGACUGAAAAAGAUCCCAGUCGUUUUAAAGAGUUUCUCUCUAGAUGAAUCUACACUACUCCCAAGAUAAAUAGUUUCUCUCUAAUUGAAUCUACACUACUCCCAAGACAAACAGUUUCUGUCUAGUUUAAUGUACAGAGGUGAUAGUGUGGUUACUUGGGGCAACAUUACAGAACGCUCAGAUAGAAAUAUAUCACGCAGAAAAUACAUUCUUCUAUGUCAUGGAGAAUACACAAUCAUUGUGUCUUGAAACUGUAUUUAUCUGCAGCGUUCUGAACGUUUCACCAGUUCUGAACAAAUCGACAUAUUACAAUGAAAUACACACUCUCUCAUUUUUGACACCCC
Molecule: long non-coding RNA, 7361 nt
Filed under: Salmo salar (Atlantic salmon)
Lineage: Eukaryota; Metazoa; Chordata; Actinopteri; Salmoniformes; Salmonidae
Description: lncRNA (ENSSSAG00000088269.1)
Source: RNAcentral